CUGCAUCCGGUUUACAUGUCACUUGUUUUAUGUUAAAAAAAAAAGUGUCUCGCAGCUAUGCUUUAUUGCCCAUAAAGCAAUCAACACAGAAUAAAAAUGAUCUUACCUCUCUAAAGGACUUUGUCCAAGACUUGGCCAGCUGCUCCAGUGGGAGACCACUCAGUGGGAGGAAAACUCAGAAUGGACUGCAAAAACAAGGUUUGGUUUUUUUUUACCAUAAUGAAGAAGCUGUGACUCCAAUUAAGAAACCUUCUCUCCACCUCUCACAGCCCAUCUUUCUGAAUAAACUUUCAUGUUUCGCUUU
Molecule: long non-coding RNA, 304 nt
Organism: Xiphophorus hellerii (green swordtail)
Lineage: Eukaryota; Metazoa; Chordata; Actinopteri; Cyprinodontiformes; Poeciliidae
Exons: 2
Source: RefSeq, a predicted model, not a curated record